RNAcentral lists this transfer RNA (72 nucleotides) under Marmota monax (woodchuck). RNAcentral's name for it is "tRNA.Thr". The record is from RNAcentral. Lineage: Eukaryota; Metazoa; Chordata; Mammalia; Rodentia; Sciuridae.
GGGAUGUAGCUCAGUGGUAGAGCACUUGACUUGCCUAGUAUGUGUGGGGCUGGGGUUCAAUCCCCUAUUCCA